CCUACGGGUGGCAGCAGUGGGGAAUAUUGGGCAAUGGGCGCAAGCCUGACCCAGCAACGCCGCGUGAAGGAAGAAGGCUUUCGGGUUGUAAACUUCUUUUAAGAGGGAAGAGCAGAAGACGGUACCUCUUGAAUAAGCCACGGCUAACUACGUGCCAGCAGCCGCGGUAAUACGUAGGUGGCAAGCGUUGUCCGGAUUUACUGGGUGUAAAGGGCGUGCAGCCGGGAAGACAAGUCUGAUGUGAAAGGCCAGGGCUCAACCCUGGGACUGCAUUGGAAACUGUUUAACUGGAGUGUCGGAGAGGCAAGUGGAAUUCCUAGUGUAGCGGUGAAAUGCGUAGAUAUUAGGAGGAACACCAGUGGCGAAGGCGGCUUGCUGGACGAUGACUGACGCUGAGGCUCGAAAGCGUGGGGAGCAAACAGGAUUAGAUACCCUUGUAGUC
Molecule: ribosomal RNA, 442 nt
Filed under: uncultured bacterium
Lineage: Bacteria
Description: partial 16S ribosomal RNA
Rfam family: Bacterial small subunit ribosomal RNA
Source: RNAcentral